CCUACCGGUGGCAGCAGUGAGGAAUAUUGGGCAAUGGAGGCAACUCUGACCCAGCCAUGCCGCGUGAGUGAAGAAGGUUUUCGGAUUGUAAAGCUCUUUCGGCUGUGACGAUGAUGACGGUAGCAUCUAAAGAAGCCCCGGCUAACUUCGUGCCAGCAGCCGCGGUAAUACGAAGGGGGCAAGCGUUGUUCGGAAUUACUGGGCGUAAAGGGAGUGUAGGCGGUUUAGUAAGAUAGUGGUGAAAGACCAGGGCUUAACUUUGGAAUUGCCAUUAUAACUAUUAGACUAGAGUUACAGAGAGGAUAGUGGAAUACCCAGUGCAGAGGUGAAAUGCGUAGAUAUUGGGUAGAACACCAGUGGCGAAGGCGACUAUCUGGCUGUACAUUGACGCUGAGGCUCGAAAGCAUGGGGAUCAAACAGGAUUAGAUACCCUAGUAGAC
This 440-nucleotide ribosomal RNA is filed under the name uncultured bacterium. RNAcentral describes it as "partial 16S ribosomal RNA". It matches the Rfam family "Bacterial small subunit ribosomal RNA", at positions 338 to 795 of the family's 1533-position model. The record is from RNAcentral.